CCCAAAGCGAACUUCCGCUAACACCGCGAUGACGUCAUAUUUGGCGCGCGCACCCAAUGCGAACUUGCGGACGCGUCUAGUAUAAACCAGGCUUUAAUGAUUGGAAAAUCCGUUUGUACUUCGUGUCAGAAACAGCGCGAGCGCUUGGAGUGCAUCUGUACAUCAGAAAUAUACCGGGCAUCACUUACUGUCCGCAUCCACUGUAGAUAGUAUAUAUAAUGGGUUCUAUAUUGUUUUUAUUGAGUCGCGCCGCGCCACUCGCGUCCAAGGAAGACACGGAAGCAGCAGGGCAGCACUGCGGGUUUUGCCCGGGGAUGAACCCGCGAGAGUGGAGGAGCUCCAGAGAACAUCUAUGCUGUGUGCCGAUGCACCUUACAAGAGAAUAAGACCAGCAAGCAAGGCAACUGCAAUGAAGCAUCAAGAAAGACAUGAGCAGACCAGCCACCCUGAGACUGAUAAUUCAUGAGAAGACAUUUCUGUCACUAACAAAGUGGAUGGUGAGCAAAGGUGGUGGCCACGUUUUGGAGCAGCACCUGGGUUUUGCAGAUGGCUAUGUAGUCUUUGGCUGUUUGUCUUUUUCCCCAUUAUGUUUCUGUUGCCUAAAGAUUCUUUGUGAGGAUGAAUCCAGAGGACACAACAUAAUGCACUGCAAAGCAUCCUAAGACAGGAGAAAUGGUGAAGUUGCACUGUUCCAGCAUUGGA
Long non-coding RNA from Onychostoma macrolepis, 702 nucleotides. RefSeq lists it as uncharacterized. The record is from RefSeq and is a predicted model, not a curated record. The transcript has 3 exons. Lineage: Eukaryota; Metazoa; Chordata; Actinopteri; Cypriniformes; Cyprinidae.